This is a non-coding RNA of Vicia faba (fava bean), 387 nucleotides long. The record is from the annotation of a GenBank genome assembly. NCBI's taxonomy places the organism in Eukaryota, Viridiplantae, Streptophyta, Magnoliopsida, Fabales, Fabaceae.
AGCGAUAUUAAUAGAAUAUCAAUAAAAUCUAUUGAGAAGUGGCCUUGGAGACAUUUGUUAAGUCAUUUGGAAAAAAAACUCACAUGUAUGAGGCUAUCACCGUUCCCCGCCCGUAGCAAAAAAAAACAAAACCAUUUCCCCCCACUCACUUCCAAAAGGAAAACCAUGUGGAAUACAAAAGUACCAUUAUCAUACCCUCCCCCACCACCGACACUCCCCAUUUCACUUCAACCUUUAUUUUCUUAUUACCAAAACUUUAUUAUUCCUUCCAAAACAAAAUUCCCUCUCUUUUAUUUUAACCUUUUUCUCCCACCGCACCUCCCUAAUCAUUUCUCACCCAUCCCCCACCUCUCUCUUUCUCUCGCUCUCUCCAAUUACCACAACUAG